GAAAGGGGCAUAUAUUCCUUUCACCAGAGGAUGCAGCUUCUAUGAAUGCUCAACAGAAGGAGACAGAUUACUAAUAAAGAAAGCCCGGGUUGUAAUCGAGUCACCAAUCAAACCAGGAGGCAUAGUGCUGACUCUUUUGAAGAAUUUGACUUCACUAUUUGA
Pistacia vera is the source of this 162-nucleotide long non-coding RNA. RefSeq lists it as uncharacterized. Lineage: Eukaryota; Viridiplantae; Streptophyta; Magnoliopsida; Sapindales; Anacardiaceae. The record is from RefSeq and is a predicted model, not a curated record. The transcript is spliced from 3 exons.